CGUUAGCGGCGGACGGGUGAGUAACACGUGGGUAACCUACCUAUAAGACUGGGACAACUUCGGGAAACCGGAGCUAAUACCGGAUAAUAUGUUGAACCGCAUGGUUCAAUAGUGAAAGAUGGUUUUGCUAUCACUUAUAGAUGGACCCGCGCCGUAUUAGCUAGUUGGUGAGGUAACGGCUCACCAAGGCAACGAUACGUAGCCGACCUGAGAGGGUGAUCGGCCACACUGGAACUGAGACACGGUCCAG
Molecule: ribosomal RNA, 250 nt
Filed under: uncultured Staphylococcus sp.
Lineage: Bacteria; Bacillati; Bacillota; Bacilli; Caryophanales; Staphylococcaceae
Description: partial 16S ribosomal RNA
Rfam family: Bacterial small subunit ribosomal RNA
Source: RNAcentral